GACGAACGCUGGCGGCGUGCUUAACACAUGCAAGUCGAACGGAAAGGCCCUGCUUUUGUGGGGUGCUCGAGUGGCGAACGGGUGAGUAACACGUGAGUAACCUGCCCUUGACUUUGGGAUAACUUCAGGAAACUGGGGCUAAUACCGGAUAGGAGCUCCUGCUGCAUGGUGGGGGUUGGAAAGUUUCGGCGGUUGGGGAUGGACUCGCGGCUUAUCAGCUUGUUGGUGGGGUAGUGGCUUACCAAGGCUUUGACGGGUAGCCGGCCUGAGAGGGUGACCGGCCACAUUGGGACUGCGAUACGGCCCAGACUCCUACGGGAGGCAGCAGUGGGGAAUAUUGCACAAUGGGCGGAAGCCUGAUGCAGCAACGCCGCGUGCGGGAUAACGGCCUUCGGGUUGUAAACCGCUUUCGCCUGUGCCGAAGCGUGAGUGACGGUAAUGGGUAAAGAAGCACCGGCUAACUACGUG
Molecule: ribosomal RNA, 468 nt
Filed under: uncultured bacterium
Lineage: Bacteria
Description: partial 16S ribosomal RNA
Rfam family: Bacterial small subunit ribosomal RNA
Source: RNAcentral